AUUGAACGCUGGCGGCAUGCUUUACACAUGCAAGUCGAACGGCAGCGGGGUAGUGCUUGCACUACUGCCGGCGAGUGGCGCACGGGUGAGUAAUAUAUCGGAACGUACCGAGUAAUGGGGGAUAACCAAUCGAAAGAUUGGCUAAUACCGCAUACGUCCUGAGGGAGAAAGCGGGGGAUCGCAAGACCUCGCGUUAUUCGAGCGGCCGAUAACUGAUUAGCUAGUUGGUGGGGUAAAGGCCUACCAAGGCGACGAUCAGUAGCGGGUCUGAGAGGACGAUCCGCCACACUGGGACUGAGACACGGCCCAGACUCCUACGGGAGGCAGCAGUGGGGAAUUUUGGACAAUGGGGGCAAGCCUGAUCCAGCCAUGCCGCGUGUAUGAAGAAGGCCUUCGGGUUGUAAAGUACUUUUGUUAGGGAAGAAAAGGGAAGUGCUAAUACCACUUUUUGCUGACGGUACCUAAAGAAUAAGCACCGGCUAACUACGUG
RNAcentral lists this ribosomal RNA (490 nucleotides) under uncultured bacterium. Its description in RNAcentral is "partial 16S ribosomal RNA". It matches the Rfam family "Bacterial small subunit ribosomal RNA", at positions 30 to 507 of the family's 1533-position model. The record is from RNAcentral.